This 253-nucleotide ribosomal RNA is filed under the name uncultured bacterium. RNAcentral's name for it is "partial 16S ribosomal RNA". It matches the Rfam family "Bacterial small subunit ribosomal RNA", at positions 524 to 776 of the family's 1533-position model. The record is from RNAcentral.
GACGUAGGGCGCGAGCGUUGUCCGGAUUUAUUGGGCGUAAAGAGCUCGUAGGCGGCUUGUCGCGUCGAAUGUGAAAUCUCAGGGCUCAACUCUGACAUUGCAUUCGAUACGGGCAGGCUAGAGUUCGGUAGGGGAGACUGGAAUUCCUGGUGUAGCGGUGAAAUGCGCAGAUAUCAGGAGGAACACCGGUGGCGAAGGCGGGUCUCUGGGCCGAUAUUGACGCUGAGACGCGAAAGCGUGGGGAGCAAACAGG